CGCGUAGGCGGCCGAUCAAGUCGGAGGUGAAAUCCCUCGGCUCAACUGAGGAAUUGCCUUCGAUACUGUUCGGCUUGAGUCCUGGAGAGGGUAGUGGAAUUCCCGGUGUAGCGGUGAAAUGCGUAGAGACCGGGAAGAACACCAGUGGCGAAGGCGAGUCUCUGGACAGUUACUGACACUGAGGCACGAAGGCCAGGGAGGCAAACG
This 207-nucleotide ribosomal RNA is filed under the name uncultured bacterium. RNAcentral describes it as "partial 16S ribosomal RNA". It matches the Rfam family "Bacterial small subunit ribosomal RNA", at positions 568 to 774 of the family's 1533-position model. The record is from RNAcentral.